This is a long non-coding RNA of Gallus gallus (chicken), 1710 nucleotides long. NCBI's taxonomy places the organism in Eukaryota, Metazoa, Chordata, Aves, Galliformes, Phasianidae. The record is from Ensembl.
GUGGGGUUGCAUACCGGUGUCCCCGCUGGGUACCGGAGGACAAGGGGCCACAGCAUCCUGGGGUGUCUUUGCCAGGAUGCUCCACACCAGGUUUUCUGUCCACCGCAGGAUUUAGGAAGCGCUUGGCAAGCGCUCGGUGAGUGCCCAUGCACUGCAGCAAUGAUCGAUACAGCUCUCAGCUUCGCCCCUUACCACCAGCACAGAGCAGCGUGGGAGCUGUUACGGCCGGGGGCUGCCGGCAGGAUCCAUCCCUGCAACCCCAUCUGCUCCGGUUCAAAGGGCUGAGAUGGAGCUCUGUGCUGCGGUGAAAUCGGCGUUGGAGGGAUUAGGGCAGGAGGGGCCGGUGCUGCUGGGAGCAGAGUGGGCUCUCAGUCAGAGAGAAGCAGAGCCUGACAGUGCUGUGACUCCCUCUUCUUAAGGAGAUGAGCUUGCAGUAAAGCAAGGAGCACGUGAGAGGAUCUUCUGGAUCGAUACGGCAAGUGCAUCGAGACUGUAGCAACACAUUUAAAACCUUAUAAAAGGUUAUUUAGUUGCUAACGGUGCAGCAGUUUCUGCAAAGCCUGCCAAAAGGUUACAGCUUUUUGGGCAUCAUAAAUUACGGACGACGGGGAAAAAAACUGCCCAACCUGUUCGUCCUGCUCUCCUGCUUGCAGGGAGGUGAGCACUUCCCAUGCGCUGCCCGUGGGGCUGGAGGGGGACAGUGCUGGAUUGGGACAGCAGCGCGCAGUGUUGGCACGUGGAUGAAGGGGCUGGAGCCAGGAGCACUCCUGCAGAUCAUUUCGAUUCGGGUAAAUCAGCGCUUUCCACUCCCCAAAGGAUAUUUCCCACCAGUUGGGCUGCGGGGUCACCUCCAGCAGAGAAGACCUUGAGUGAUGGAUGCUGUGUCUCGCAGCAAGGUGCUCAGAAAGAGCUUGGAAACAGCAUUGGGUCCCAUUGGAAGUGGGGUGAUGGUGUCUGCGCUGCAAAUGAGGACCAACUUGGUGGGGCAUCAACAUGGAUCACAAGGGAAAUGGCCAAAAUGGGUGAGAGGCAUUUCCUUCUUCCCCUCCCUGGAGGGUACACUUUGUGCUGUGCUGUGGGGUUGGUAUGGGGAUUGCCCUGCAAUGGAGCGGCCCAUGUCCCCAUCACCAUCCCAGCCCAGAGGUUCCAUGGGGUGGGCGCUUUCCUCCCUGCUGCUGUCAGGAUGUUUACAGAGCUCGGGAUCAGUCUGGAUCCUGGAGAUGUUCAGCUGUGGCAGCACCGUGCUGGUGGGGUCAAGAGGCCAUUGGUGUGUGUUGCACCCCCCACAGGCAGUGUGAGCUGUCAGAGCCAACACGGGCUCCCAAACCCACUGAAACCUCCCCAUACAUGGGAGUCACCUUCAGGGUGCCAUUUCCAAACCUGAGUGUAAUGUUCCUAAACCCAGGUUUAACCUUCCCAAACCCAUGGUAAUGUUCCCAAAACUGGGGAUAACAUUCCCAGAUUGGGGGAUAAUAUUCCCAAACCUGGGAAUAACAUUCCCAAAUGGGUGAUAGCCUUUUGCUGAGCCCGGCACCCCCAGCACUGCAGCGGCGUUCCCUGCCCGGCUCCCUUGCUGGCACGGAGGCAGAUCUGAGGAGCUGCAGGAAGUACAUUUGUUAUUGGGAACGCUUUGAUAUUUCACAUGUGAAAUGUCUGCAUGCUGGAGGAGUUCAGGCAUCUGGCAGGAAAUUACCAUGAAUCCUGUUUCUC